Molecule: long non-coding RNA, 1348 nt
Organism: Aquila chrysaetos chrysaetos
Lineage: Eukaryota; Metazoa; Chordata; Aves; Accipitriformes; Accipitridae
Exons: 2
Source: RefSeq, a predicted model, not a curated record
AAAAAAAAGAAAACCAAAUAAAAAACUUUUGCAUGGCUUUUUUUUUUUUUAGAGCUCUUUUCUCCCAAUUUCCUCCCACCCAUUCAAUGCUGUUUUAUUCCUUGCAUUCAAUCUUAAAGAAUAAGGGUGCGGGAGACCCUCACCCCGACCCCGCAGCCUUCCCUGCCGCUCUACCUCACCAUCAGAAAUUAAUGUCCCCUGGGACGUCCCUCACGUCCUCGUUCCCUCCGGGCAUUUUGUAAUUGCUCCCCACUGCCUCUACCAGCAGCUGCUCAAAUUCAUUCACAAACCAACAGCAUCUCCCCGCAGCGCUCCCGCUCCGGGAUGCCGCAAGGGAAAAACCCGUCCGGGUGCUGCCACCCACCCUCCUGCCCACCCCGAUCCCGAGCAUCGCUCCCCCCGCCUCCGGAGAGGGACCCCCGCGUCGGAGACGGGUGACGGCUGAGCACAGCGCCCGGCUGCCGACGGCAAGCGGCACGGCCGAGUUUCGCCUGCAAAUUCUCCCAGGGACCUACCAGGCUCCCUCCGAGUCCUUCCAGCAUCUAACACAUCCAGCGCGCUCCUUAUUCCCGGAGAGAUCGGCGAGGCGUUGGUCUAACCCUGCCUGUCCACAGUGCCUCUUCUCCCGGUAUUCGCUCUGCUCUCUACCGCUGCAAUAAAGCUCCGCGCGCUGCCAAGCGAGCUUUGGAGCGGCGAUCAAUGCAAUAUUUCAGCGCGAUGCCAGCGAUCAGCACCGGCUGCUCUCUGCAGAGCAAUGGCACAGUGUCCACCCAGACAAGUUUCCUACUGUAACUUCAGUGAAUGCGGUUAUUCAGGCUAACGGCAGCUGAUUUAUCAUGGCAGACACCCGGGGAAAUCUUUCGACUCCAGAGACUGGAGGCUCCUCGCCGGGCUGCCGCGAUGAACGCCGUGAGCUCGGCGCGGCUCGCCGUGCUCUCGUUCCACCCGUGCUCGAACGCCUUCGCUGCCACCAAAUUACGUUAGCUAACCGCGAUGGGGAGCGUCGGUUAACGGAGGCGAUGCCACUUCCCCACGACACAAGCCACCGGCUCCAUCCUCGCCGCUUUCCUCCCAGCCUUCCCAAAUCCCAAGCAGAGGAGUAAAGUUGACGGACCCUUUUGUUUCCAGAGAGCUGGCACGUGUUGUGGUUUACUGGGCUAAUAAAUCUGCCGUGGUCUGCGCCUUUUAAUGACUGCAGCAUUAAUAACAAGUUUCCAUGGAGCUGCUUAAAAGUUUACAGGGUGUGUGCGUUAUCAGGGGAACCCCGUGCUUUCUGACCUCCUGCUUCAAAAGUCACAACCAGCAGCUUUUUUUUUUUUUUUGCAAUAAGAGAACAAAUAAAUCCUGA